AAGGGCAAAGUAACUCCACGAAGGUAACUUCAAUAUCUUUUCAAGCUUGACAGAGAUGCAUCUGAAACGAGGAAUGCUGGAACUGGAAGGAUCUUUUGAAUAUGCAGAAACUAAAAAGGGAGAAACCAAACAGAAAGAAAAAAAAGCAUGGCUAGCUUCACGUAGAGAUGGAUUUUCCGUUCCACAGAAACUAAUUUGCCUCCAAUGCAAAUUCUCUGUUGAAAGGAUGUGCCUACACUGCAGCUGAAAAUGCUUCUGACAUAGGUUAUGUGGGUACUAAAGCAGUAUGGGCAGCCAAAUAACAGUAACAGCAAAACUGAAAUCACAGAGAUCUACUAUUAGAAAUGCAAUCGAGGGUUCCCUGUCCAAUUCUGAAACACCCGGUUUCCCGGCGUUUAGGUUUGCAUUGCACUAAAUGUGUUAGCGACAGUUUCCACUUUUAUUUUUGAAGGUAUGCAGUACAUGGUGCUUUUGGUCUUACUGUUACAAUGCAGUCCUUGUGCACUUCUGUCCUUGUGACAGAAACUGGAUCCCCUCUGCAGUAUCAAAGCUUCUGCUUAAGUACACGGCACGUGCAGUGACAGUGCAGAGGUUUUAGGGCAUUCAGUAUAUUUUCACUGUGAACUGCUAAGGGAAUAAGGAUUUGCCUACACACACGAAUAUUCCAGAACAACAACAACAAAUUAUGUAUGGAGACUUUUCUGGUAUUGCCCCAUGAUUUGGAGUCUGGCAGUAUAAAUAACUGUGAAUAGCCUUCUCAAUCAUUAGCUUCUGAGACAGCCCAGGAACUACUAGCAAUUGUCAUUGCUGUGUGUGACUUGUGGUAAUACCGUCACCCGAAAUCUACAUUAAAAUUAACAUUUCAUCGGGGAAGGAACACGACUUCUGACAGCUCUUGUGAAUUAACUCUGAGGGACAGGAUCUUGGUAGAUGUAGGAGAUAGCUCACACUGAGCAGAGAGAUCCUCAGUUCUCACCGCUUUUGAGAUUCACCACACUCACAGAGUUGUGGGCAAGAGACAGAGAGACUGAGGGCUGUAGCACUCUCUUAGCACUCAGCUCUUUCAGACACUGGCUGCAUAUAUUAAAAAGGAAAACAUGAGGCACAGAAGGCAGGCAUGAAGGGCCUUCUUUCUGGAGCAGCACAGAACAGCAGUAGAAAAGCUUUAUUGUGUCAGUACUGAGGCAGAGGUUGUGACAAGUACUGUGCUUCAAUCUGAGGCAGAGGGGAGAUCCUGGGUUAGGAAAAUAGU
RNAcentral lists this long non-coding RNA (1252 nucleotides) under Gallus gallus (chicken). RNAcentral's name for it is "lncRNA (ENSGALG00010010552.1)". The record is from RNAcentral. Lineage: Eukaryota; Metazoa; Chordata; Aves; Galliformes; Phasianidae.